CCUCGUUUUCUGCGCUUCUUUUUCUUUCUGGCUUUCGACCCCAUUAUCGGUUGGGCGUUGGUGACGUCAUAUGCAGACGUGGACUAGCACGUAGUGCUGCCUGAGUCUGUGCCGCUGGUUGCAAGCCGCAGACAAAACGAGGCGCUGCACAGUCCUUCUCUCCAUCAACAUCGUCAUCCGCCUCGUGCACGCCGCAAAUCGUGCGCUUGCUCAUGGGCGGUCGACCAACAGCGACGCCAUUUCGCGUGUUCGGCUCUCCCUACACGUUGUCGCUGCAUCAGCAUGUCACCUACCUCCGGCUGAAGCAGCUCCCUUUUCGGGUGUACUGCAGAAGUUUCACCACCACCUUGCUGUAUUCAUUGUAUUUCCGUGCCCGCAGCGUUUUCUGCACGUUGACGCCUAGCGGCGCUUCUCCGCUGCAGGUUUGGCAGCUGGCAGAAGCGGCGGAGCUGGACGAGGACGUCGAGGCUAUCGCUCGCACCGCGAAGGGCGAAGUCAGCUACACUGGUAAGGACAACUACGGUAGAUGCGGCGCUCUGCACGCGAGUGGUGCUGCGACGGCAGCUCCGCGCACGCAGAGGAUCCUGGUCCGAAAAGAAACGCAUCCGCAGCUGCACUUGGCUUCUUGGUGCGUGGUGGUGUACACGUGCUGGUGGCUCGCGAAGACGGGUGCCAUGUUUCGCUACAUCCGUGGCGACGCAUUGGAUGUGCUGGAGGGAUACGUGCGCUACUUCUUCCCGAUCCCAGGAAUCGGAUUCGCCCGCGCUAUGGCACCACGGUUUCGCGAAGCGAUGAAGCAGUUGGUCUCGGCGACGGGUGCGUCGGAGGUGACGGCACCGUUUAUGGAGGACCACUUCCAGCGCUUCUGCGCGGCGCUCGAGGCACACCUGCGCGAGCAUCCGAACGAACACUUUCUGCUUGGCACCCCGCACCCGACCCUGGCCGACGUUACGCUCGGUGCCGCCUUCUCCAGUCUCUUCCUCAUGGACGACCCGCCGUCUUCGAUGCUGGCGGACAAGUUCCCAUGCGUGACGGAGUACGUGGAACGGGUGACGGGAUGGCGUGGCGCCACCUUUGUCGGUACCACUGAUGAUGCUGCUCUCACAACCGAGGACGCAUCCGUGGGCAGCGCGGCGCCCAACGCUGACACAAUUUCCAACAGUGUCGCUACAUCAACUGCUGACAGGAACACGGACUACCCUGACACGGUUCCCGAGUCUCUGGGGCCGUGCUUCGAGCUCAUCGCAGAGGUACUUCCGUUCCUCAUGUCCCAGUGUGCCUCCUUCAACGCCUUUAUGGCUGGCGACGGCGUCCGCACACUGCGUCGUGAGCCGCUCGAGGGGGAGUGGAAGGGCUGUACAGGGUAUCUGAUGCCCCAACUCGCGAACGUCCGGUCUCUGAUGAUUGUGGACGACAAUAUCAGCAGCGUGCAGGCCCGCUCGCAGGACUUGGAGAUCGCGUUUCUCGCCGCACGCGAGGUACUCGAUGACUCGCUGCUCGACUUUGGAAGAAGGGAGGACGGCUCGCACGGCGCCUCGCCGCACGAUGUCAACGCCCGCGGAGUCAACGAGCCCGCAGCUCACACCAGUGCGGCUGCAGCGUCAGUAGUCGCGCAGAACACGGCGGCAUCCGCUUAUAGAGACGCUGACGACUCCCAGCAUCUUGUGCAGCCGGUGCGGGAAGGCGCUGCCGUCAACGGGGCUGCCACACGGACAGAGGAGUCUGAACCGAAGAGGCGGGCAGCGGAGGAGGGGAGCGCUGCGCAGUUUCGGCAGCAGCUGGAUCCGCGCACGAUGCGAGCUGAGGAGGCAGACUUCUAUCGCGCUUACACGGCGGCAACUCGCCACAACGUGGUUGGCACCGCCGCUUCCCUCUGCGAUGUGGUGCCUCCUGCACGACAGGCGUCGAGCGCCUGCAGCACUGCGGUGGUCGUGCGUGGGUCUGUCAAGGAACACUUGCAGACGCUGUACGCAAUGUUGGCGAAAAUGAGCUGCCCACAGUACACCCUCACCUCGCUCCAUCACGGCCGCCGAAUCUACGUUGCUGUCAUUCCCGAGUGCGAGGUGUCGAAGGUGCGUAAGGCGCGUCAGGAGGUGGCGAAAAAAAGCACUGCUGCUUCGUUAGACAUGGAAUGCGUCACUCAAUCCGGUUAGGACUGCCAACAGUACAGCGUCGUAGGGGAGAAGGGCAUACGUCGCCGACGCGUGUGGAAGGGAGAGGGGGGAGGCAGCGUCUUGAUGCGUGUACGUGCUUGUAUGUCGGCCAGUGAGUGCUGUGUGGUUGUGUCUGUAGCUAUCAUGUGUCCUUCUCUGAGACCCAGGAUUGCUGGUCUUGCCCCUCUAUCUCCCAUUUGGCAAUUCACGCCUUCACUUGCAUGGGUGGGCGUUCGCGACGGCGGAGCGAAGCCAUAGACAGACACACACACACAAACACACACAUACACAUACGCAUGCACAGACACCGUUUGCCUCUUGCGUGGCUCGCCCAUUCUCCACUUUGUGGGCCUGCGUCGGCAGCGUGGCGUCGACUUCACAUGUACUCACGAAUCAGGAAUAGCCCCCUGGAACGCAACGGCAACGAAAGAAAAGUCUAGCAGCGUCCAGGAUCUCUGUUUGCGCCAUGUUCGUUGCGUGACUAGAGCACGCAUGCGAUG
This 2653-nucleotide unclassified non-coding RNA is filed under the name Leishmania donovani. RNAcentral's name for it is "gene:LdHU3.36.7380(CDS-product:Glutathione_S-tran sferase_C-inal_domain_containing_protein_putative)". The record is from RNAcentral. Lineage: Eukaryota; Euglenozoa; Kinetoplastea; Trypanosomatida; Trypanosomatidae.